CCUACGGGAGGCAGCAGUGGGGAAUUUUGGACAAUGGACGCAAGUCUGAUCCAGCCAUUCCGCGUGCAGGACGAAGGCCUUCGGGUUGUAAACUGCUUUUGUACAGAACGAAAAGGUCUCUAUUAAUACUAGGGGCUCAUGACGGUACUGUAAGAAUAAGCACCGGCUAACUACGUGCCAGCAGCCGCGGUAAUACGUAGGGUGCAAGCGUUAAUCGGAAUUACUGGGCGUAAAGCGUGCGCAGGCGGUUAUAUAAGACAGAUGUGAAAUCCCCGGGCUCAACCUGGGAACUGCAUUUGUGACUGUAUAGCUGGAGUGCGGCAGAGGGGGAUGGAAUUCCGCGUGUAGCAGUGAAAUGCGUAGAUAUGCGGAGGAACACCGAUGGCGAAGGCAAUCCCCUGGGCCUGCACUGACGCUCAUGCACGAAAGCGUGGGGAGCAAACAGGAUUAGAUACCCUGGUAGUCCACGCCCUAAACGAUGUCAACUGGUUGUUGGGUCUUCACUGACUCAGUAACGAAGCUAACGCGUGAAGUUGAACCGCCUGGGGAGUUACGGCCGCAAGGUUGAAACUUCAAAGGAAUUGACGGCUUGGAGAGNGCGAGCGACACGAGGAGGAGG
RNAcentral lists this ribosomal RNA (619 nucleotides) under uncultured bacterium. Its description in RNAcentral is "bacterial SSU rRNA". It matches the Rfam family "Bacterial small subunit ribosomal RNA", at positions 338 to 944 of the family's 1533-position model. The record is from RNAcentral.